CCGAACGUUAGCUUUUUUUUUUUUCCAUCUGACAAUAGUUUUUACCCAUCAAAAAUCCUAAAAGUACGGUGUCCCUUUGUCAAGAUUAUCUCACUAUAACCUUUCAUUUCUGAUAUAACCUAAAAUCCUAUGAAAAAAGCAUUCUGCUGAGGGAACCAGUGCGGUUCGAACUUCUCCGUUUCAGACCAAAAUACGUCAUCCCUGCAGCACUGACGGCUGAGCGAUGAUUCUCUGUGAGUUUGUCUAGUAGCUACCACUUUCACAUUAAGCAGAAUCAUUUGACUCAUUAUUGCAGCCUGAAAACAUCAUCCUAAACCCACGAGCCUCGCAAAGUCAGCCCAAUUCUCAAUAGCUGAGAUUUCAGUCUGGGGAACUUCGAUAAAAAAAAUCUGUUGAGCUUAGCUCUGCGGGUAAAACAAACAAACAGACAAAUCAGUGUCCUACGGGGAGAUGAUUAGAUGGUGCUCUGACUAAAACGGGAACUCUCGAAAUGCUAUUAAAAUCUAUUUAAACCGGGCAUUGUGCGUAUGAAAAAGAGGCCAAAUUCUGCUGCUACGUGGAUUCUUCCUCACGCUCAUCACUCUGCAGACAGACUGAAUGAGAAGUAGCCAAGAGCAGCUCUGAAGAUCAAUAUGUGAUUGUGACAGAUGGCGGGGUGGGGGGGGGGUCCUAUAAGUCUCCAGCUGGACAAAGGUAUUGAUCAUCACGAGUCCACUUAUCAAGGAAUAUUGAUUGAACUCUGCGGGGUGCUGCUGCAGACACUCUUUUGCUUAUUAAUGUGCAUCGUUUUCUUUCCCUUUUUUAAAGCAAUACUGUGUUCAUCCUCAGCUGCAGUGACGCGACAUCCCCACCGCACCGAGUCGGUCUGUCGCCCUCCUGGCUGCGCCCGAGCCCAUCACCGAGGAGUCCCGGAAACAGUCACAGACACAUCUUGGAGUCCUUGCUGGUGUGUGCCUCCAUCAUGUUCCUCGUGGGCAUGGCCAUAUUGGCGAGGAAGUUGUGGAAACAACACAGGCGUGAUCCUGUGCUGAGACAAGUAAAUAGGAUAAAAGCAAGGCACAAUGAGUUCUCAGGGGAUGUAGAUGACCCGCAAAGCACUGGUGUCGUUUUCCUUAAUGUGGAUUCCCAGGACGUACAUAUGUACUGAGCGUAGGGUUUAUUGUUACUCUUUGUUACCGAAUGUAAUUGUUUGUCUCGGUUCACUGCACACAGCACACUUAUUUCCACUGUCUUUGUGUACGUUACGUUCAAUGAGGAUUUCUCAAAAUAUAAUCACGCGGUCUUCUAUUUCAAUUUUUUUAAUGGCACUGAGGUCAGGAAUUUUAUUUUUUAUUUUUUGUCGGAAUUUGUUUUGUUUUUUUGUAUAUUGGUGGAGCUUACAUUCUAACUGAUAACUAAUUUUUAUUAUUAUUAUUAUUAUUAUAAGUAUUAUUAUAAAUACAUUACAUUAAACAUUUGGAUUGGUUAUUUAAACACUAGAUUUGAAUUCAUGUGGGAAAACACUUAUUUUACAGGUCCAUUAUUAACUAAUCAUUUUCCAUGAAGUAUCGUGAAAAGAAAUGAGCAAAGUGGUGCUACUCACAGGGGAAAUAGAGACCCCUUUGCCACAUGCACUGGGACCCUGAUUUGAUCUAGACUAUAGCCUGAGAAUGCCAAUGUCCAAAUCAGUUAGACAUUAAACAGACAUAACCCUGCAGCCCGUGAGUGAAGAGAGGCGGGCAUUACCCGUAGAACUCAUGAGUAGUGAGAGCGUGUGUUUUUGAUGAUGCGAUUGGCACAACGCCAGAAGAGUACAACACAUCCGAGGGUAAUGAAGCGUUUAUGCGACAACAAAAAAACGUAUAACUCGAGAGACGACGAGAUUUGGGGAUCUCGCGACGGGAAGGGCAGACGGCUAAACUGUCAGAAGAAUUCAAGGAUCAGCUCAGAGACUUUGUUGUUGACGACCAAAUCGCUAACCGGCGAUGUGACCGCGGUGUAAUCCGAGCCGAGGCGCACUUUAAAAACAAUAUCACGACUGCGGUGACAAAGAGAAUAGAGGCAAAACUCCAAGGUGCUUUUUAAAAAAAAAAAAAUUUGGAGGGGGGGGGGGUCAAUCGCUGCUAGAUAGCUCUUUGAUGAGAGACGCAUGGACGGCGGGAGAGAGGGUGUGGGAUGACAUGCAGCAAAGGAAUCAACGAGGCCAACGAAAAGUGGAUCGGACGCAAGGCAUUAGGAGGUCAUUUAGUCACUAUUUGAGCGCAGACACGGAGCGCACGCUCAACCGGGUGAGCUACCAAUUGACCUCUGCUGGCGCGAUUACACCAGAGGUCACGUUAAUCGGGGAAACAACUAAUUCAUCUGCUUUGUGUGUUAGUGGCCGCACUGUGGGUGUCUCAAAAUCUAUAAUCCUUGUUCGGUAUAUUGGUGAUUGAAAAACACAAACACACAUAAAUCAACGACAUAUCCAUAUUAGUUUGGCCUUGAGGGCUUUCAAAGAAACAUGUUCACUGCGGUCAAAACAAAAACUCUCUCAAUUGCUUCUCUCGGGAAGGCUCGCAUUCAAAAACUUCAUUCAAAAACCUCAAUGGAAGCUGUCAAUGUAAACCAAUAAAUACAUUAUGGGUACAUGAAAUACAGCUCCUAGGGUGGUAUUUCAUGUCAUUUCUUUGUUUCACAUUUACAGAUCCAGUUGGCUUUGUAUGAACACUUUUAUUGUCAUUGCGCACACAUCGAACAGCCGUGAAGAGAUAUUCGCUGAAUUUGACAAAAAAAUGUAUUGGAUUAGAAUCGCUGACUGAAUGUUUUUCAACACUGUCAUUGAGAAAGUAAGGAAUGCAACACUGGAUUACAGGCGAUUCUGUAUCACGUGGGACGUACUGUAUGAAGCUGAACUUAAGUCUGUGGUGUAUGUCUGUGCUUAUGCUGUAUCUUCUCUGACAUCCGAUUUGUAAUGUAAUAAACCUAAUUUCAAGUUUUCCACAUCAUGUAUGUAAUGAACCGUGCUGCUCAAAAAACAAGACCCUUCAGGACUAAUGAUUUGAGUAAUAAUAAUCAUUACACUGUCUCCAAACUGCUUUGCGUUUGUUGUGUAUAUCUGUUGCACCAAAAAAGUCCAGUGUGAAUAAAUAUUAA
Cyclopterus lumpus (lumpfish) is the source of this 3114-nucleotide long non-coding RNA. Lineage: Eukaryota; Metazoa; Chordata; Actinopteri; Perciformes; Cyclopteridae. The record is from Ensembl.